CUUUCGAUACAUCGAGAAGGGGGGCGGAUUAUGGCCUCCCGUGCGCCUCGUGCAUGCGGUUGGCCUAAAAAUUGAGUCCCCGGCGACUAUCGCCACGGCAAUCGGUGGUUGUAAGACUCUCUGAAACUGCCGUGCGCGCUCGUCUGCCAAGAGGGAACCCUCGAGACCCCGAUGCUGCCGUAAAGGGCAUGCUCCAACUGCGAC
Molecule: long non-coding RNA, 204 nt
Filed under: Ricinus communis (castor bean)
Lineage: Eukaryota; Viridiplantae; Streptophyta; Magnoliopsida; Malpighiales; Euphorbiaceae
Description: long non-coding RNA (RCOM_LNC003759)
Source: RNAcentral